This is an RNA transcript of Hemiscyllium ocellatum (epaulette shark), 2012 nucleotides long. It is a transcript of the gene named zinc finger protein 239-like, with no coding region annotated. The record is from RefSeq and is a predicted model, not a curated record. The transcript has 2 exons. Lineage: Eukaryota; Metazoa; Chordata; Chondrichthyes; Orectolobiformes; Hemiscylliidae.
GCAGAUCCAAGAUGGUGGUAGUUUACCGGGAGCUGAUUUCGGGACAAAACCCUGGGGCUACAAAUCAGGCAGUUGCAGGUUAUUAAUCGAGGUUUAAGGUUGCCUGCUUCACACCAAGUACAGUUUUAGCCUGCAUGGAUAGGCUGGACUGAAGGGUCUGUUUCCAAGCUGCGCAUCUCUAUGACUCUGUGCUGUUCUCAUUUAAAGGGACAGAGACAUUGAGUGAGAGAGACUGAAAUCAACCUGGAGAGAAAGGAAAUUCAAUCUUGAGCAACAAGUAACAAUGCAGGAAGUUAAGAAAUUAGUUUAAAAUUCCUCCUGCAAUUUUACUGCAGUAAUGAUGGAAAUAAACUUGUUUUAUAGGGAAAGGGUUCACAGAUGGGAAGCUCAGAUUUGACAUCAAAUCAAUUGAAGAGUCUCCCAAUUCAGCAGGUACUGAUCAUAAUCGGUAAUAUGGAAGGGGAAAGCAGCAUUCCCAGUCCAAAGAAACCAUUUCCGUGUGUGUGGUCAAGGAUUCAACCGGUCAUGUGAUCUGGGAAAAUACAGAUGUGACCAGUCAAGAGAAGGCCAUGUAAAUGUAAGGACUGUGGGAAGGAAUGUAGCUAUUCUUCCCAGCUGGAAUCUCACUGGCACAGUCACCUUGGGAGAAGCCAUUCACCUGCCCCGCGUAUGAGAUGGGAUUUACUCAAUCUUGCAACCUGCUGAGGCACCAAAGAGUUCACAGUGGAUUUAGACCCUUCACCUGCUCUGUGUGUGAGAAAGGAUUCAUUCAAAUCUCCCACCUGCAGAGACAUCAGUGCAUUCACACUGGGGAGAGGCCAUUCACCUGCUCUGAAUGUGGGAAAGGAUGCACUCGGUCCUCUGACCUGCUGAAACACCAGGAAGCUCGUUCCGGGAAAAGGCCAUUUACUUGCUCCGAGCAUGGGGAGGGAUUCACUCAAAUCCAGUAGCUGCUGAAAACCAGCAAACCCACACAGGGGAGAGGCUACUCAAAUGCUCCAUGUGUGAAGAGUGAUUCAGUGAUUAAUUUCACCUGCUGAGACACCAGCAGAUUCACACCGGGUAGAAGCUGUUUACCUUGCUUUGUGAAAAGGGAUUUGCUGAGUCUUCAACAUGACUGACAGACCAGCAAGUGCACACAGUGGUCAUCCACCUGCUCCAUUUGGGGAAGAGUUCAUACAUCACUGCAGGACUCUGAUUCAGCAGUUAUGUUCAUCAGAUUCAGGACUGGAUUUUACUCAUGAUGACAUUGUUGGAGCCUUGAUGAUGUUAACCUCAGUUAUUGGGUUGGAUUGACUGAAUUUAUAUCACAAUUUUCUGGACCACAGGAUAUCUCUUUGGGCAAUAUGUCACACUGCUGUUUUAGAGACUAUGAGCAGGGAUCAUCUGUUUUUGAGUGAAAUUGUUGAGGGGAAAGACUUCACACCUGGGUCCUUGGAGAAGUACAUGAAGUGUCUAACUAUGCUUUAACUGCCUUCAGGGAGUUCUGAGCACAGUGGGGUAUACAGUGCUUUAUUUCAGCCUCCAACUCUCUUUUGAUUUAGCCCAUUCCUACUCUCCCUACCACCACCCUUGCAUUUGAUAGUUUGCAUUUCCCACCAUGGGCUUUGCUUGUAAAUAUUUAAUUAGUGACACAGGUGUUUUGCGAGUGAUGGUUUUUAGUGAACAAAAUGCAAAAAAAAGUAGUGAUUCUGGUUUGGGAAGGUUGCUUAGCUGUGUGUGAUAACACUUCUGGGCAGAAGAAAAGGUUUCAUAGCUCAUAUAACCAGAACUGAAAGGGAGUUAAAUCAAACCAACAUGUUGAACAGGCUUGGUUUUUAGUAACUGUAAGGUGAUGGUGUCUAGAAGGAGAUGGGAUUUUGUUUCACAGGGCAGAUGAAAUCUUUUAAACUGUGUUAUAUUUAAAUAGAUUUGUUUUUUAUUUUAUUUUAAUUUUAUUUAUUGUUAUUCAUUGAUAAAACAAAAUCUGCAGAUCUUGUGUUUAUCUUUCAGCAAAAGACCACCAUGUUAAA